UGUCAUUACAACAACUCAGUGCAGGUGUGUGCUGUCUGGAAGAAGAGAAGUAAUGGUAGAAUUGAAAGAAGCCAAAGUCCAGAGCUGUGUAAAAUUAUUUUUGGUAAAUUGCAUAAAUAAAACAUCUUAGAAAUGAUAAUUGUCUGCACAGCAAUUGGAAAUCAAGCUCAAAAAUGAAAUUAAAACUUUUUUUGAUAUCUUCAGUAUGUCAGUGCCUGGUCCCUUUUAUCUACUAAUAAUGUUUUAGCUUCUAUUCUCAUCUUGUCUCACGUUAUCCCAGAAGAAUGUUCACGGCGCCAUAUGAACUGAGCAAGGUGGUAAGUUAAUUUGUCUUUAUACUCCAGAAGUUUGAUUGCAGGCUUUUUUGGGUCUAUUUCAUUCCUAGUGUGGAUAUGCAGGGUGCUGUACUGUGCCAGGCAUCAAGUGAGACGCAUCCCGGAAAUGUUUCUGAAUGUAUGAAGAAAUGAGAAGGAACACGUUUCCCCGUGGGUGAAUCCCAGCCUGCAGAAUGCUGUGGGUGAUACUGAAGAGCUCAGGCAGGCCUGUAGCAUGGAGCUGCUCUUUAGCUUCUGACUGAUGCAUCUCAUCAACCGGUGUUCUACAGAGCGAUAAACAGGAGGGAAAGGGCUUAUGAGAGCAUACGUCUCGAUCACAUUGCAGCUGCUUGUGCUGUGUACCACAUUCUUAACGUUAUUAGAAUCAUUCCCAGUAUAAUCAAACUAUGCUUCUCCAGUUACAUCAAGGCUAAUUUUGGCCCGGUGCUUUCUGCAGCUCAGGCAGACUUGAUGGAAGCAUUUUUAAUCACUUUUUACAAUCCUGCACACAAAUUUCAGUUGUAUCCUGGUGUAAGAAGUUUUAGCACCCCAGCACUGUACUGGAGCAGUUCACGUUGGCCCUGGGGUGGCUGAGGAUGGCUUUUCAAUGUUUACAGACUACGUGGGGAAAAAGAAAGGAGCUGUCAAGUGGAGAAAUGAGGGCAUGGAUCAUAGGAAUUUCUAGUUUCUUCUCAAUAUUGUUGUAUUUUUAAAUAUACCUUCCUUUUCUAAGUGUUUUCUAGGUUUCUACGCUCUGUCCCUAUCAACCCCUCAUGUGGUUUGUCAUGCACUGCAGUCAGAAGGCUUGACUUGCAUUUAUCUUUUGGCUUAGAGCUAAUUCCCCAUGCCAACAUUCACAACAACAGAAUUGAUUGAGGAAGUGAAUAUUGCACUUUUUCUUGAGUUUCAGUUGAAGUGUUUAGGAAGUUGGACCUUAAUUAGCUUUUGGUAGAGCUGAAGUAGAGGAAUAGUUAUGUAACUGCCCAGCUGUUUGUGAGAAAACACCUUCAUUUGGUGACAUCUGAGUCCCUUCAGUGCCUUCUGAGAGGUACCUGCUGCUUUGCAGGGCUCACGUGGAGUAAUUGGGAGACUUCAUAAUACCAUGUGAUUUAAAAAUAAAAAAUAACAAAAGUAGAGCAAAAUGAAAAUCCAUCAUACUUUACAUUAACAGCUUUCAAUGUCUGCUUUUUUUUUUUUUUUUUGCAUGAUUUGUAUUGGGAGAAGAAGAAAACAAAAGAAUAACCCUGGUGUUCUGUUUGUCCUCGAUGUAAGGACUGCAUAGUACUGCAUCUUCUGGAUAGAGAAGGGCAGGCGUUUGGAGGCUGAGGGUUGGUAAGAUACAGCGCGACUUCUGUCUCUUGGCCUUUGGUGCCCUUUGCAGUGCUGGAAGUUUUGUUUUUGUUGUUUCUUACUUUGGUGUUUUGAUGGUAUUCCAGGUGGAAGUAUUAGGGAGGAGGAAGACAAACAUGUAGACUGGAGCUAUUGCUAUUGGACCUAGAAAGUUAGGAGGAGAUGGGUUUGCUUCCAUAAUGAUGUUCCUGUGGUGGGAUGUAAUUAAGGGAAGGGAGCAGGGACCCCUGAGUGGAGCCGCUGAGGCCCUCUUAAACCAAGCUGGUUUGUCAUGCUCCAGGUCUGCUAAGUUUGUAUUGUCAGGUUGUGCACAGAAAUGUCUUAAGCUGUUUCCAGAGUGGACGUAACCCUGAAAGCAAUGGGUUCAUGCACAUCUUGUGCUUGAUUCCUGAAGCCUGGCUCUGAGCUGGCUCAGCACAGGGCUGAGGUGUGGCUGACUUUGGCCUGCUCGGAGCACUGACUGCACAUGUUAAGGAACACCUUGAAGAUCUGAUUCCACUGAAGGAAUGCUCACGUGGAGUAAUGGCUUUCCAUGUUUUCUGGAGUUUGGCAGUCACAUGGGUUCUGACAGCAAUGCCACGUGCUCUGGGACAUUAGGCAGCAAUGUCUGGUUGGUCUCCUAUAGCUGUUAACCUGCAUAUUUCCAUUUUUCAAAUCCCUUCCUUCUAGCAUUACGUCUGUUCUGUAUACUGGCUCUCCUCUGAGUUCAGACGGCUCCUGCUACCAUACAGCACGUGCUGUGCCAGAUGCUGAAGGACAGAGACUGUGAUGAGCACUAUCAGUGUGCAACGUGAACUGAUGGCAGGUAUUCAUAUCUGGUCCUCGUAGUCUGACAUAAAUAUGGAAGCCAUAAGGUGCAGUGUGACUUCUGGCCGUGGAUUCUUCUGUUCUUGAUGAAUAUUUCAGUGUUGAUAGAAACAUUUGUUUUCAUAGCAUGUCCAAGAGCUGUUCUGCAGUGGAGAAGGUAAGUUCAUAGGUGUGGGCAGGGGAUGGACAACCAAGCCCUUCAUCUGUUCUCAUGUUUUUUUUUUCCUCUGACGCAGUCCUUACAGUUGUAUGGACAGAUGUUGGGCUGAUCAAACAGCUACUGAAACCAUGAAGAAUCGGGGCAUAUUUUUAUGAGUGGGGAUGAAAAGAGAGAUUUAAGAUUUUUAGCCUUUCCAUGAUGCUCUCAGAUGCAUGGUUGAAUUUUAAGGUGUUUCUGAAUGGAUCCAGAUUGUGAUGUGCUGUAAUUAUAUUUGUUGUCUUUUGAAACAGACUCAGUUGCAGUUCAUUGUCAUUCUCUGUUCAUUUUCCUGAUUGAGAAUUACUCUCUGCAGUGCUUGUUGCUGGAAAAUAUUUAGUUGCCAGUGUUUAUUUCUGUCUUACAAGUUCAGCUGAGUCCUCUUUGCUUUAUGGUGAGGGACUGCUGCUGGCUAUUAGCUGUGCUUUGAAGACAAAUAUCCCUAUUUUCAUUCAAGUUCAGAUUGUGUUUGCUCUGAAACCCAAUGGAAGUGUUAGCUGUAUCUCAGUUCCCUGAUUUGGGUUGAUAGGACUUGCCUGUGAAUCUUGUUCUGACAGAUGAUUACCUCCCUGGACUCCUUCCUUAGGUAACUUAGCAAAGAGUCCCAGGUAUGCUUUGCAAGGUAGAACCACGUGUAGACAACAGGGUUUUAUUGUUCUUCAGGGGGAAAAAAUAAGUAGCAUGGAAACAUGAAAUCUGAAUCACCCUGAAUUUAAAAAUAAAAAUCUAGGAGAUACAGCGACUUAAUGCUGUAAGUUGGAAGAAUGGUGGUGAAGUUCUUGAAUAUGAGAUUUGUUUUAAACUGACAAUAAAACUGUGUGCAAUCUGUGCUUUUGCAGUAAAUGUAAAGCGUGCCAUGGAUUAGCUAAUCUUCCAGAAGAACCCCAGCAUCUGCAUGCCAUGGCAAGUGAUCUGAGGAGCUCCAGGUGGGUGUGCUACAUGUAUAUCGAGUCGUCUCUCUAGACACUGUACUCUAUGAACUGCACGUGCAUUGUAGAAUUGUUUCCUUCCUGGUCCUUUUGUAAUGUCUGGUGUUUUGGUUUUGUUUUUUUUUCCAAAUAAAUAUCUUUUGAAGUCAUUACUUUGUGGGUGUUUUCCAAGGAUCUGAGCGUUCUCUUGUGUUGCUGGUCCUCGCUGAUGUAUUUAUUCUCUUUGGAUCACACGGGGUAAGGGAGCAGAGAAAGUCAUAAUUGCUUCAGUUGGGUGCAAAAUGCAAACCCUUUUUUCUGAAGACUUUGUUUUAAGUAUUUUCUUGGAGAGCCCCUAACAGAGGGAAAAUAAUUCUGAGCAAACCUGAA
Gallus gallus (chicken) is the source of this 3965-nucleotide long non-coding RNA. Lineage: Eukaryota; Metazoa; Chordata; Aves; Galliformes; Phasianidae. The record is from Ensembl.